RNAcentral lists this ribosomal RNA (329 nucleotides) under uncultured eukaryote. Its description in RNAcentral is "partial 18S ribosomal RNA". It matches the Rfam family "Eukaryotic small subunit ribosomal RNA", at positions 1470 to 1796 of the family's 1831-position model. The record is from RNAcentral.
CGCUUAGAUGUCCUGGGCCGCACGCGCGCUACACUGAGUGUCUGAGAUACGAGUCUGCCUGGUCCGGCAAGGUCUAGGUAAUCGCUAAAAGACACAUCAUGCUUGGGAUAGAUUAUUGCAAAUAUUAAUCUUGAACGAGGAAUUCCUAGUAAGCGCAAGUCAACAGCUUGCGUUGAUUACGUCCCUGCCCUUUGUACACACCGCCCGUCGCUACUACUGAUUGGAUGUUUAAGCGAGGUUCUCGAACUGCUAGCGACUUAGCUUCGGUGAGGUCGCAGUGUGGGAAGUGAACCUAGCUUUGGUGUCUAGAGGAAGUAAAAGUCGUAACA